AAUUCUCAAUCUUACCAGCUUUUGUUGGAAAAGACUUGGAUGUGGGGGGGAAAUUUUUUGAAGGUUUCUCGCGGAACCUUCUCCCCUGAAAUGCAUUAGCUGGACGCUCGCGCGGACAGUCUAUUGGUGUGAUAAUUAUCUACGCCAUUAGCUGACUGCCAUUAGUAGCACCGCUUCUAACUGUCUUCGGACAAUAUAUGACA
RNAcentral lists this unclassified non-coding RNA (203 nucleotides) under Pholiota terrestris. RNAcentral describes it as "partial internal transcribed spacer 2". The record is from RNAcentral. Lineage: Eukaryota; Fungi; Basidiomycota; Agaricomycetes; Agaricales; Strophariaceae.